RNAcentral lists this long non-coding RNA (973 nucleotides) under Homo sapiens (human). RNAcentral's name for it is "non-protein coding lnc-C8orf48-6:1". Lineage: Eukaryota; Metazoa; Chordata; Mammalia; Primates; Hominidae. The record is from RNAcentral.
UGAUUUACAUGUGCGACAGACAGUAUUGAAGUGGAACAAAGGAAAAUGCAAAUUUCGUCAAAGCCAGUUUGAAGAUUCUCAACAUUUUACAGACCACCUUAAUAGACAUAGCUAUCCAAAUGUGUAUUUUUGUGCAAUGAGUCAUUUAAGCUGCCAUUCCAGCUUGCCAAGCGUACAAAAAGUCACAGGAUAUUUCAAGCUGUGUAGUUUUCCAGAAUUCCAUGAGCUUUUGGAAGAUCUUCCUCUGCUAUAUGAACAUGAAGCUCAGCACUGUUUAAAACACCAGAAUCAUCUGCACAACCCAGUGAGACAAUUCUUCGGGAUGUUCAUACAGACUCCAAUCCUAAUCAUCAGGAAAAGGAUUCAUCUAGUACUGAGAAACCAUUAGUCUGUCAGUUUCUCCUAGCAAAUCAAGGAAAGAUUCUACAGAACCAAAGACAUGUAUAGGAAGUAUGGAAAAGAAAACAGUUUAGUUCAGAAUGGAAAUGAACGUUCUGAUGACACUGUUUAAAAUAUAAGCUUGUUAGACCAAAAGAUGGCUGACAUAGAGCCAAAUUCUGAAAAUAAUUGUAGUAGUCAUGAUUUAGUUAAUGGACACAGUGAAACAGAGCAAACACCUUUAGUUUUAUCAGAUCCUGCUUUGAAAAUUGAUAUAAACAGAAUCAGGACAGAAAAUGGUUCCAUUUUACCUAGUGUUGUACCACAAGAACACAAUACCUUACCAGUAUCUCAGGCACCUUCCAAACCAAAUCUGACAAAUGAACAUACUUCGUAUGGCUUAAUUUUAACAAAACCAGUUACCUUCACGAACAGUAUCUUAGUAUGCCCAAACAUGCAUAAUUUCUGACUGAUACCUGUCCUGAUCAAGAUAACAUGUAUAGGAAAUUAGUGAAAAGAUUAAGAUGUGGCAAAUGCCUGACCACCUACUGUAAUGCAGAAGCACUUGAGGCUCAUCUAGACUGAUAAAAAUGUU